This 25369-nucleotide long non-coding RNA is filed under the name Vitis vinifera (wine grape). RNAcentral's name for it is "long non-coding RNA (VVIN_LNC005723)". Lineage: Eukaryota; Viridiplantae; Streptophyta; Magnoliopsida; Vitales; Vitaceae. The record is from RNAcentral.
CCGAAUCCCCCUUUAUAUUCCUCUCUGGAUUCAGGAGCGGAGACUCAGAGAUAAGCCAAGAAGCCAUGAAUCCCCUGGCGCUGAUUUUCUGCACGGCUCUCUUCUGCGUCCUCCUCUAUCACUUCCUCACGCGCCGCUCCGUCCGCCUCCCUCCGGGGCCCAAGCCAUGGCCGAUUGUGGGGAACCUCCCGCACCUGGGCCCCGUCCCUCACCACUCCAUUGCUGCGCUCGCUAAAACCUACGGCCCUCUCAUGCAUCUCCGUAUGGGCUUCGUCGACGUCGUGGUGGCCGCCUCCGCCUCCGUUGCUGCUCAGUUCUUGAAAACUCAUGAUGCUAAUUUCUCCAACAGGCCUCCGAAUUCAGGUGCCAAGCAUAUCGCUUACAACUAUCAGGAUCUGGUGUUCGCUCCCUACGGCCCCCGGUGGCGCAUGCUCCGCAAGAUUUGCUCCGUCCACCUCUUCUCCGGCAAAGCCUUGGAUGAUUUUCGCCAUAUCCGACAGGUACCUAGCUUAAUCUCUCUCAGAAAUGAAUGCUUUCUCAAUUUUAAUCCAUUUUUCGUUUUUUCUUCCUGAUCGCUUCUAUUAUUUCAUCGCAAAUUAAGAUCUGGUUACACAGAUUUCAUUUUUCCAUAAAAACAUCUAAGAAAAUAAUAGCAUGUGUCCACCAUCAUUGUCUAAUCCUGUCAGAGUAUUUGCAGUCUCCACUCUCUGUGUAUUUCAAACUUACUUUUCAAUACUACACAUCUUUUUGAAGAAGGCCCGGCUCCACAAGUUUAUUUUUACUAUUUUUUUAAUGAUUUUUUUUUUAGUAAAGUUGUUUUCCUCCGGCAGGUGGUGUCUUGUCCGAACUGACAAGUCCAUGCAUUCACGCGAGACUUUUUCCAAUUUUAAUGAUUAGAAAAAUAAUGAGUUGAUGAAAAUUUAUGUGACGUACAGGAGGAGGUUGCGGUGCUAACGCGCGCACUUGCGAGGGCGGGUCAAACGCCGGUGAACUUGGGGCAGCUGCUGAACGUGUGUACUACCAACGCCCUAGGGCGGGUGAUGUUAGGCAGGAGAGUGUUCGGCGACGGCAGUGGAGGCGAAGAUCCGAAGGCCGACGAGUUCAAAGAGAUGGUGGUGGAGCUGAUGGUCCUGGCCGGAGUUUUCAACAUCGGCGACUUUGUGCCGGCGCUGGAAUGGCUGGACCUGCAGGGCGUGGCUGCCAAGAUGAAGAAGCUCCAUGCUCGGUUUGACGCUUUCCUGGGCGCCAUCGUGGAGGAGCACAAGAUCAGCGGCUCUGCUGGUUCCGAGCGUCACGUGGACUUACUCAGCACGUUGAUCUCGGUGAGGGAUAAUGCCGACGGUGAGGGAGGCAAGCUCACCGACGUUGAGAUCAAAGCCUUGCUCUUGGUAUCUCUCAUUAUCCAUUUUCUUUCGUUCCUUUUAAAAAAAAAAUAAUUAUAUUUAUUUACAUUUUUUCCAGAAAAAAAAAAAAAAUUAUUAAUGGGGUCAAAUCUCCCAAAUAAAGUUUGAUAUGGACAUUACAAUAAACUUUUGUUUACUUGUAAAAGUAAGAAUUAUUAUCUGUCACUGUUUCGUCUACUUCUUGUGGUAAUUUGGUACCUGAAAUUGAUGAAAACCGUCUGUUGACAUGGCAGAACUUGUUCACAGCUGGAACUGACACCUCAUCCAGCACAGUAGAGUGGGCCAUUGCAGAGCUCAUUCGCCACCCUGAAAUGAUGGCCCAAGCCCAACAAGAGCUGGACGCAGUGGUGGGCCGAAGCAGGCUUGUAACUGAUUUGGACCUGCCCCAACUCACCUAUGUCCAAGCCAUAAUCAAGGAAACCUUCCGCCUGCACCCAUCCACGCCCCUCUCCCUCCCUCGGAUGGCGGCGGAGAGCUGUGAGAUCAACGGCUACCACAUCCCCAAAAACGCCACUCUUCUAGUGAACGUGUGGGCCAUAGCGCGGGACCCAGAGGUGUGGGAGGAGCCACUAGAAUUCAGGCCCAACAGGUUCCUCCCAGGAGGGGAAAGACCAAAUGCGGACGUGAGAGGGAAUGAUUUUGAAGUGAUUCCAUUCGGGGCUGGCCGGAGAAUAUGCGCGGGGAUGAGCUUGGGACUGAGGAUGGUGCACCUGUUAACCGCGACGCUUGUUCAUGCGUUCAACUGGGAGUUGCCGGAAGGCCAGGUGGCGGAGAAGCUGAACAUGGAUGAGGCAUAUGGGCUGACCCUACAACGAGCCGCCCCACUCAUGGUGCACCCACGGCCAAGGCUGUCACCCCAAGUUUUCGGGAAGUAAAUGAGGUUGUUUGCCCAUGAUUAAAAUAGAAGACUUGGUGAUGGAUUUGGCUGAAUAAUUAUGAUGUUCGAGAGCGAGUUUAGUAGUUUUGUGAUGGGUUUUCCCUCAACCACCUGCAUGUUAAUACUGUAAACGAUGAUUCUCAAGGGGUAUCUAAUAAUGCAAUAUGUUGGUUUAAAAUUUAAAAUAUUUACUUCACAAUAUCGAGCGUAGGAGAAGAAACUAGAAAGUCAUAUGAUGAAUAAUGUCCCCAAAACUCAAACAGAGAUCAUCACAAUCUAAAGAGUCGUGCAAGGCGGCGAGUGUACCAACUACCAAUAAAAGCACGAAAGCUGAACAAGGAGUAGCUUCAUCUGUCAUCUGACCAACCAGCCUCCUCACAAAAUACCAUAUUCCAAGUCAAAGGUAGUAUAUAUGAUUUAUUGGACGAGAAGUUGAGGCUCCAAACAUCUUUAAUACAGCACCUUUCAAACAAGAUACUUGAAAAUGUACAAAAUCACCUCAUCUCGAAACCAGGAUUAUAAAAGAAGACGACCUCCCGGACCUAUCAGAUGACCUGAUCGUACAAAAUCACCUCAUCCCGAAACCAAGACUAUAAAAGAAGACGACAUCCCGUACCUAUAAUAUGACCUAAUUGACCGACAUGUGUCUAAAAAGACGAGUCCAAUUACCCUUAUCCCCUUUAUCCUUAUAUGCACAAAAGUCAAUAAAGCCUACCGUAAAAAGUGUGCUGAAACAACUCCUUCAUAAAGAAAGUAACUUUAAAAGAGAAGUCUCUUCCUCCUUAAGGGCUCUCUCUCUCUCUCUCCAUCUUAAAGAAGAGAAAAUGUAUCUUUGUAUCCAAAAUGAUUGAAUAAAAUAUCUAAUAUGUUUCUUGAAGAAUUUUAGCAUAUUGAAGAAGUAUCAUAACUCCUAAUAGAUUUAAUUAUCACUAAAAUUAUUGAAAUAAAACCUCUAGAUGUGUUGUGAUCAUGAAUGCUUAAAUACAGUAAUUUUUAUUUAUUUUUAAAAUAAAUAAUAAAUUAAUUAAUUUAAUCUUAUAUAUUCUCUAGAUCAUGUGGUAUCUUUUAAUUUUUUAAUAUUAAUUUUUUUACAAAUUAAUUAUCAAAUUUAUAAAAACCCCAUGAAUAAUUGACUAAAUCGAUUCUUCCCUAACUUUCAAUAUCUUUCAUAAAUAGGUAAUUUUUUAAAAUAUUAAAGAGUAGCGUGGAAACUAAUUAUUAAUCUAAUUACGAUAUUAAAUAAAUAAAAAUUAGAUAUUUUUGAAAUUCAUGUACUAUAUAGUUAUUUUUUCAUAAAUAAAUUCUUAUUUGUAAUUAAUAAUUUACAUUAAUAAAAAUUUAUAACAUUACUUAUAUCAUCGUAAUAAAUUUAAAAAAUGUGGACUUUGUUGAGGCCUCGCGUCCGUGGUAAUCCAUGUAGUUGCCAAAUGGAUGGACGCACGAUCUCAACCAAUAUAGAUUUCUGGUUUAGUCGUUCCUGCAAAAGGCGUCUGGACAGGGUGUCUGGAUACACCCUCCGAUGGUAUUGUCAGCCAUGGUCCAAGAGAUAAAUCAGUUGGCCUUUUACUAGGUAUAUCAAAACUUACCUUCCUCUUUGUGCGAAGGUCCAUAUAUAUCGUCUCAGAAGCUCUAUCUCCCUCUUUAAUGAUAGAGAGAUAUUUUGGCUUGUCAUGAUGUCUCUAGGUGGUGACAGGGUCAUCAUCACUCGUAGGGCGGCUGACAAAGAUCGUGGGAGGCGCCGCAGCUGUCAGAGAUCGUAGGAAGUGACUUGCCAUCAUUCCUGUCCUUUCACUCUGCAGGUGGCGGAACGUGGGCCGUGAAAGACUGUCGGAAUGACGUAGUAAGACUUGCUUACUUUAGUCAACGAUCCGGACAAACAUAUCCGGAUAGGAUAUGUCAGUCGUUCGGAUGUGAUAUGACGAUCGUCCGGAUGUGAUGUUUGCGAGUGUCAUGUGCUUCUCCCUGAGGAAGUCCGGAUAUGAGAAGCGCGUCACGUGUCUCCUUUGGGGGAAAUCCGGAUGGAGCUAAUCCGGAUAGAAAUGUGUGCCACUUGUCAUCAGGGGGAGGGGUCCCUACAGACUUGUCGUUCAUUUCUUUCUCUCUCAAUAUAUUAUUAAAUACAUAAAUUAAUAAUAUUUAUUAAAAUGAUAUUUGCAAGUUGGGGGUGGGAUGAGAACUAUUAAAUACAUAAAUUAAUAAUAUUUAUUAAAAUGAUAUUUGCAAGUAGGGGAUGGGAUGAGAACUCGUGUUGGGAUUUUUGAUCCUAAACGUCUAAUUGAAGGGAUUUUGAAAAAAAAUAUUUAUUAAAGUAUAUCAAUUUUAAAACCAUUUUCAAAUCUACUAUAUUUUUUAUAAUAUCAAUUAAAAAUUAUCUUUUUAUAAAACACCAACUUUAAAUCAAAUAUGAAAAUUAUUUUGUGAAAAAUUAAUUUUAAAAUUCAACUAAGUUUUCUCUUCAGAAAACAACUUUUACUUUAAGUUUUUGAAAGUACUAUACAUUUGGAAGUAGUUUCAAAAGUGUGAUAUUUUAAUAAAUAUUUUUUAAAAUUGCAAUAUUUUUUUCAAAAUCUUGACACUUAAGAUAGAGUGGGCAAGCAUGGGAAAAAAAUUUACAUACACUCAAAUUUAUGUCUUAGACUAGGAACUGAAAAAUUGUGGGGCAUAUGGAUAAUACAAAAACAAUUAUCUUACUUAGAGUUACUUAUUAUUACUUAUUAUUACUUAUGCAUUAAUUAAAAGGAAAGUGUUAAGGUAUCCAAAUGCUACAUAUAGAACUUCAAAUUCGGACUAAAUUGAAUAUAUAUAUAUAUAAUGAUAUUUAAGUAAUGAAAAUUCAAACAACUAGGAUUAUGGUAUAAGAAUAGGAAUAAAUGAGAUUAUGAUACAAAUAAUAACAUUUGAAAAUGUAUACCUAAGAUCAUUUUAUUGAGUUUUUUCAUACAUUUAUUUGAGCUUAGGAUUGCAGAUGGUGCAUGUUGGGAAGUGUCACAAAUUCCUAAUUAGUAAAGAUUGAGAGAUAUUCAAUGGAACGAGAUGACUCGUGGUUCAAGGUGUAAAUAUAAAGAGUGAAAAUAUAUUUUGAGAACCUAAUAAUUAUAUUUGGUUUUGUCCUCUAUAAUGUUCUCUGUGAUAUAAUGAAAAGAUUUUCUCUCGUCCGUGAAUAUAGGUAUGAUUGAUCAAAUCACGUUAAAACCUCAUUGUAGCCUACUCUCUACGGUGAAUGGUUUGUUUUUGUUUUUUGUUUUUAUUUAUUUAUUUAUUAUUUUGUUCUUCUGACCACCCGGAAUCAUUAAAACCUCGUUGUAGCGCCCCUGCCUCCUGUGAAAGGGUUUGUUUUUGUUUCUAUUUUUUUUUUUUUUUUUUUUGUUAUUCUGAUCACCUCGGAAUUAAGCUGAUGGGGCGACCAAAUACGAAAGGGGAGAGAGAGAGGGAGUUUUGGGCAAACAUGAUUCCGAAAUUCACGGAAUCAUUAUUCUUAUUUUAAAGUCUUGGGCGACGGUGAAUAACUUUUUAAAAUUUCCUAAAAUUUUAAAGUCUCAAAUUUAUUUAUUUAUUUUAAAAAUACCAUUCUCAAAAUAAUUUUCUAAAAUUUGAUUUUAAAAAUUUAGUUUUCAAAACUUUAAUUCUCGAAAUUCACUCUUCUAAAACUCCAUUUUUUAAAAUUUAAUCAUUUAAAAUUCAAUUCUUGAAAUAAUUUUCUAGAAUUCUAAUUUUAAAUUUAAUUUUCCAAGAUUCAAAUUUUUAAAAUUUAAUUUUCCGAAAUUUCCACAAUCCCGAAUUUAAUUUUUUAUUUUUUAUUUUUUUAUGUCACAUUCAAAUAAAUUUUCGAAACUCCAAUUCCUUUUUAUUCAUUUACUUAUUGAUUUUUAAAAUUCCAUCUUUUAAAUAACUCUUCAAAAUUCUGUUUUUAAAAUUUAAUUCCAAUUUCCAAAAUUCCAAUUUUCGUAUCAAUUUAUUUAAUCAUUAUCACUUUAUUCAUUCAUUUAUUUGUUUAUUUUUUUAAAAUUCAAUUUUUAAAUAACUCUUCAAAAUUUCAUUUUUUAAAAUUUAAUUCCAAUUUCCGAAAUUCCAAUUUUCGUAUCAAUUUAUUUAAUCAUUAUCACUUUAUUCGUUUAUUCAUUUGUUUAUCUUUAAAAUUCAAUCUUUAACUCUUCAAAAUUUCGAUUUCUGAAUUUAAUUCAAAUUUCCAAAAUUCUAGUUUUCUUAUCGAUUUAUUUAAUCACUAUCAUUUUAUUCAUUUAUUUAUUUGUCUAUUUUUAUCAAAAUUCAGAUUUCCAAAUUAAGUUUCCAAUUUCCAAAAUUCCAUUUUUUUCAUUUACUUAAUCAUCAUUAUUUUCAUUAUUAUCAUUAUUCUAUUUAUUUAUUUCAAAAAUUCCUUCUUCAAAUGAUUCCAAUCUUAUGACUUUCGAAUUUAAUUUCUAAUCUAAAAAAUUUCAAUAUUUAUGUACGUUUUUCCCAAAACCCCAAUUUCCGAACUUAAUUUUCCAAAUUCCAAAAUUCUAAUUUCCUUCAAAUUUACUCUCCAAAAUUCUGAUCAUUAAAUUUAAUUCCCAAGACUCUAACUCCCAAAUAAAUUUCAAAAGUCCAGUUUUCACUCGAACGGUUUUGAUUCCACUCUAGUUUUCAAAUAAUCUUCUUUUUCUUUUGAUUUUAUAUAAGCGUGAAUGCAAUUUUCAUAAUUCCAAAAUAAUGGAAUUUGUGAUAUUAAUUCAUGCAAGAUUAAUCGGGCUUUGGUAGGGGCCCACAUAUGAGUUUUCUCUUCUGAUUGUAAAUUGUUAUGCUUGAUGAGUAUUGUUUGAUCUUUGUCUUGCUCUUUGAUAUGCAUGUGAUGAUUUUAUAUCUGAGCUAACCUUGUUUCCAUGAUAAUGCACUAUUACCUGCUGUCAAGAUACGCUCCCACUCCCGCUUUGCUUACUCUUAUGCGCGAUUCGUUUUAUUAUUUGAUCAUUUCAUUAAUAUCCAUUGACUUCCUUAUCAAUUGCCACACUUCCUUCACCUUAUUUAGUAGAGAUCCGAAUUUAGGGACUUAGAGGGGUGCUGCGGUCCUUAUCAUACCUUCCCGAUAAGUAACCUGACCCCCGAGCCUAAUCCGGUUUUUCACAGACCACCUUUUUCGAAAUAAUGAGUCACACUUAGGGUUUUAUUUCUUAUUUUAUUUACCCUUUAAAAAUAAAACAAAAAUAAGUAGUGACUCCAAGUCCUUUUUUAAUCAAUAAAUCAUUUUUUAAAAAUAAAAAUUGAACUCGCCAUCGAGUGGAAGCGCAUGAGCCGAAAUGCGGGGUCCACACUUACGUAAUCUAACAUUAUUUAUAUUAAAGCUUUUGUUAACGCAACAAACUAGUCUUCAAAUUGAUGAAUGGGGUUUUUUUUUUUUUUUUUUCNNNNNNNNNNNNNNNNNNNNNNNNNNNNNNNNNNNNNNNNNNNNNNNNNNNNNNNNNNNNNNNNNNNNNNNNNNNNNNNNNNNNNNNNNNNNNNNNNNNNNNNNNGGGGUUUUUUUUUUUUUUUUUUCUCAUUCAUACUGUGGACCCCGCAUUUCGGCUCAUGCGUUUCCCACUCGAUGGCAAGCUCGAUUUUUAUUUGAAAUUUUGAUUUUUAUUUGAUAAAGAAAAAUGACUUGGAGUCGCCACUUAUUUUUCUUUUAUUUUUAAAAAGGUAAACAAAAUAAGAAAGAAAAACCCUAAGUGUGACUCCUUAUUUUGGAAAAGGUGAUCUACGAAAUAUCGGAUUGGGUUCGGGGGUCAGGUUACUUAUCGGGAAGGUACGGUAUAAACCGUAGCACCCCUCUAAGUCCCUAGAGUCGGGUCUUUACUAAUACAAUGAAACUGACGUGGCAAUCAACGAGAAAGUCAAUGGAUACACACCUAAAUUAUACACAAUAUGGGAAUCAAAACACGCAAUAGAGAUUGACUAGAAUGAGAGUGGAUGCGUACCUCGACCACAAGCCACAAUGCGCUAUCAAGAAACGGGAUUAGUGCACAAUUAAGGAACACAAAAAAUAGCUCAUGCAUAUCGGAGUGCAAAACGAAGCUCAAGCAAAAUACAUUAAGAGCCCGUUUGGCAGUGAUUUUUAAAAGUGUUUCUACCCUUAAAAACACUUUUAAGUGUUUUUGGGAUGAAAAUAAAGUGUUUGGCAAAUUUUAAAAAACACUUUUGAAAAUCUGGAAAAACACUUGAAGUGAUUUUUAGAGAAUCACUUGAUAGGUGUUUUUUUAAAAAAAACACUUCAAUUUUUUUGAAAUAUUCCAAAAAUGCCCCCCAGUGAUAAAUCAAUUAGAAAAAUCUUUUUUUUUUUUCCAGAAAUUAAUAGGUGGUCAUAUAUUGUUUUACUUUUAAAAUUAUCUUUUAUUCAAUGUUCUUUUUUUUUUUUUAUUGAUUUAGAUGUUUUUUGUAAAUAUUUUUUAAAAUUUUAGUAUAGUGAUAAAAAAAUUAUUAUUUUUAAUUAGAAAAGUCUUUUUUUUUUUUUAGAAAUUAAUAGGUAAUCAUAUAUUGUUUUAAUUUUAAAAUUAUCUUUUAUUCAAUGUUAUUUUUUUAGUGAUUUAGAUGUUUUUUCAUUAAUAAAAAGUUUUUUUUGUUUAUCAUACCAUUUUUUUUUAAUUAAAAUUGUAUGUCCUUUUUGGUAAUUUAUUAAUAUUAAAAGUGUUUUUAUAUUUAUACAAUAUAUUAUCAAAAACACUUUAGAAUCAUUUUUUCUGAUUAUCAUAAAAGUGUUUUUCACAGAAACACUAUAACAGAAAACACUUCAAAUAAAAACACUUCCACUAGAAUCACUACCAAACGGGCUCUAAGUACGACAAUUGACAAUAAAAAAAGGAUCACACAUAGGGCCCCCACCAAAGCCCAAUUUAUUACUCAUGAACUAGUCUCACAAAUUCCGUGUUUUAGAAUUAUGAAGAAUUUAUUAUUGUUUAUGUAGAAUCAAGAAGAUCAGAAGAUUAUUUAAGAACCGGAAUAGAAUUAAAACUAUUCAAGUGAAAACUGGAUUUUUGGAAUUUACUUGAAAAUUGGAGUAUUGGGAAUUGAAUUUAAAAUAUUAGAGCUUCGGUAAUUAAAAUGAAAUUUGCCAAAGAAGAUGAGAAAUGAACUUUAGGAAAUUGAUUUGCGAGAAUAUGGGUUUUGAAAGUUGAAUUUGUAAUAAUAAUAAUAAUAAGGAGUGAACUUUAGGAAAUUGAACUGCGAGAAUAUAGAUUUUUAAUAAUAAUAAUAAUAAAAAAAAAUAAACUUUAGGAAAUUAAAUUGCGAAGAUAUAGAUUUUUAUUAAUAAGUAUAAUAAUAAUGAUAAUAAUAAUAUUAGGAAAUUGAACUGAGCGAGAGUAUAGAUUUUUAAUAAUAAUGCUAAUAAUAAUGCUAAUAAUAAUAAUAAUAAUAAUAAUAAUAAUAAUAAUAACCAUAAUAAUGAUAAUAAUAACAAUGAGGUUUUGGAAUAAUAAUAAUAAUGAUAACAAGAUUUUGAAAGUUGAAUUAAUAAUAAUAAUAAGAAUAAUAUUUUAAAAGUUGAAUUAAGAAUAAUAAUAACAAUAAUAUUUUAAAAGUUGAAUUAAUAAUAAUAAUAAGAUUUUAAAAGUUGAAUUAAUAAUAAUAAUAAUAAUAAUAAUAAUAAUAAUAAUCAUAAUAAUAAUAAGAAUAAUAAGAUUUUUAAAUAAUAAUAAUAAUAAGGUUUUGAAAGUUGAAUUAAUAAUAAUAAUAAUAAUAAUAUUUUAAACGUCGGAUUAAUAAUAAUAAUAAUAAUAAGAUUUUAAAAGUUGAAUUAAUAAUAAUAAUAAUCAUAAUAAUAAUAAUAAUAAUAAUAAGAUUUUGAAAUAAUAAUAAUAAUAAUAAGGUUUUGAAAGUUGAAUUAAUAAUAAUAAUGAUAUUUUAAAAGUUGAAUUAAUAAUAAUAAUAAUAAUAAUAAUAAUAAUAAUAUUUUAAACGUCGGAUUAAUAAUAAUAAUAAUAAUAUGGACUUCAAAAAAAUGGGCCUUAAUAAUGAUAAUAAUAGGCCUUGGACCUCAAAAAAAGGGCCUUGGGAAUGAAUAGUACAGGGGGCAUGAGGCCCUUCAUUAACGCGACUAGGCUUGGGCUUCCCCACCAGGCCCAUAUCCAUCAUCUUGGACAGGCCCCAAGCUCUAACUCCAUCACAUGCUUGGAUUGGGCCCCAACUCAAGCCCAAAUUAAAAGCAAACCCAAGAACACCAAAUUCUCUCACAGCCCACAUCUCCAACCUCCGCCUGGGCAUCACCAUCUAAAUACUCUGUGUCCUCGAGCUCACCGUCAACCUCAUCGCCUUCUUCAUCGGAACCCCACAUCUCAUCAUCCUCUUUCAAGGUUCGCCGCCCACGCGCACUCACACGCGCUUGCUCUGGUUGCCGAAGCCAAGGGUUGAACCAGUCUUGGACAGCCGCAAUAACGUCAGUGCGCGGGCAUCUGCUCAGUUCUCAUGUUAGACGAAGGAGAUGGGCCUUCCGAUCAGGGUUGAGGAGAAAAAGGGAGGAAGCGAUCCUGCUCGUUGGAGCAAUGCGCCAGGUGACCAUGGAGAUCGGUGGAGAAGUUACUCCUAGCCUCUGAGACGAGCAAUGGAGGAGGAGAAGCUCCACUGCCGCCAUUGAUUCAGCUGACUGGGCAAGCUUGAGGAGGCGGGUAUGAAGGAUGGCGGCCAUACAUGGCUAUGCGUGGCCACGUGAGAACGAGAGGAAUGAGUGCAAUGGACAAGGAAAAUGGGUUUGGAUAAGUUUAGAGAUAUGAUAUGCAUGGGCUGCUAGAGAGGAAUAUGAUGGAUGAACAUGGAGUAUACUAUGGAUGGGAAGGUAGGGAUGACUAUGCGCAUGGAGCUCCAUGCACACGAGAAGACAGAGAAUCAAAGGGUUAGUAUAGAUAGCAUGGGAUCUCAGACUUCAAUGUCUUCAAUAUUGCGUUCUCUGCAUCACUCCAAACAUGACGCUGGCUUUCAGGAUGGAGGCAAACAGAGCAAAGGAAAAAAAAAGCAAAACCAAGCAUGGAUAAUCGAAACAAAUGGAACCCAUAACAGCCUCAUGUUGUGCAUUAAUCCCUGGGCUUAGAUGGAGGUGGGUGAAAAUAAAGGAUCAUCAAACAAAACCAGAGCAUGGUUGCAGAUAUAUUAUGGGGAAAAACAAAGACGAAAUCACCUUAAGCAAGAACCAUUAAGAAGGGAUAUAUGGAUAUGCUUACCCUCAACACACAAACAUCACCCAAGAAUGGACAGAGAAAGAGAAGAGAACCAUACCUGUGAGUGAUCUUCUCUAACAAGAUCGAGCCAAAAACUCAGCAAAGCAUCCCUCUUUUCCCUUGCUUAGCUUUCCACCAUUCUCUCCUUUUCUUCCUUUCACUAUCUCCCAUCUCUCCCUCUUGUCCCGUCUUUUCCUCUCUGGCCCCCCACUUACUCCUCCUGCCACAGCCCCAAAGAAAAGAUAUAUUUAUUAUUAUUUUUUCUUUGCUGGCAGCUUCUCCUCCGAGCUAUCUCUCGCCGCCACCAGCAGCUCGCCUCAUCCCAUCCCAUGGCCGCCCGUUUCCCAGGUGGUCAGUAUAUAUAUAUAUAUAUAAACAAUCAGAUGUCUCUCAUGGGGGGUCUACACAUACUUUUAUUCAUUCAUGUAUAGAGUAUAUAUGAAGGAUAAUCACCAUUCUAAGAAUGGGAAAGAAUGAUACAAGGAAGGAAUGAUAUAAGGAAAUAAUGAUACAAGGAAAGGAAUAAUAUAAGGAAAUAAUGAUACAAGGAAAGCAUUCCUAAUAUCUCAACACUCCCCUCUUAAGGAAAAAAUGAUACAAGGAAAGUAUUCCUAAUAUCUCAACACUCCCCCUCAAGUUGGUGCAUAGAUGUCACACAUGCCCAACUUGUUUAAAAAUUUUGAGAACACUUGUCUUGAGAUAGCUUUGGUGAGGAUAUCAGCCAAUUGAUCUUCUGAUUUAAUCUUAGGCAAUUCCACAAUCUUAUCAUCCAACUUCUCCUUAAUGAAGAAUCUAUCCACCUCGACAUGCUUUGUAUGAUCAUGUUGUACUGGAUUAUGUGCAAUGUCACAUGCAACAUUAUUGUCAGAAAACAAUCGGAUUGGUUGCCUAGAUAGGUAACCUAAAUCCUGUAAGAGGAGUCUUAGCCAUAAUGCCUCACAAAGUCCUAAAGCCAUACCCCUAAAUUCUGCUUCUGCACUUGAAUGAGCAACGACAUUAUGCUUCUUACUUUCCAUGUCACAAGAUUACCACCUACAAAGAUAAAGUAACCAGAUGUAGACCGCAUAGCAUCCACUGUACCGACCCAAUCAGCAUCAGUAUAUACUUCUAUACUCUGAUGAUCAACAUUUUUAGCGAACAAAAUUCCCUUCCCAAGAGCAUUCUUCAAAUACCUCAAAAUACAUAUGAUUGCAUUCAUAUGUUGUUCUCCAGGAUUAUGCAUGUAUUGACUCACUAUACUCAGUGCAUAAGCAAGAUCUGGUCUGGUAUGAGCUAAGUACAUUAAUCUCCUUACAAGUCUUUGGUAUCUUCCUUUAUCGGUUGAUACUUGAUUAGGCUCAACACACAAUUUCAGACCUUUUUCUAUUGGUGUAUCCAAGGAUAGAAAUAUCGGUAAAUACGGAUAUAUCGGUACUUGGAUUUUACGGAUAUAUCGGAAAUAUCGGUGGAUUUUUCAUCAAAUAUCGGUGAGACAAAAAUUAUCCAAAAUUGAUGGGAAUGCUUAGAAAAAUCCAAAGAAUGAUAAAAUAAGCAAGAAUAUACAUGUUAAAGUUAUUUUAUAACUGUAAUUGACAUAAAUAUGGUCAAAGAAAAAAAUAUCGGUAAAUAGUUUACGAUACUUGGAUUUUAAGAAUAGAAAAUAUGAAAUUUGGAAUUGUACACUUAGAAAGUUAGAAUUGAGUUAAGAAAUAUUUGAUUUUAUUAAAUGAAAACAAUUUACACAUAAACAUAAUACAUAUGACAUUGCAAUGGUCCUUAAUACCAAAAUGAAGAUCGAUGUGGUUCCAUCAUAUUGUUAUUGUUAGAUGAAGGGAGCCCAUCUUGUUGAAGACAAUAUUCAUACCAGGACAUGGAGUUUCGAUAGUAUUGAUUGUAUGUACGAACAUGCCAUGCAUAAAUUUCUUGAGUCUACCAACAACUUGUCCAUGGAUAGGAAAUCCAAGGUUUUCCCAUGUGCUCGUUUGAAAUCCUUGUUGUUGCAACUGAUGUGGAAGGUAGUAUGGCAUUUGUGUGGAAGAAGGAUAGUUAUACCUUUCAUACUCUUCAUCAGUGGAACUUGAAAGAUUUUGAGGAGGCUGACCAUAACUCAUUGCAUAAGGGGCAUAAAUGUUGGCUUCGUUUGAUGAAUCACUGAAUUGAGUCUCUACACUCAUCGACUCAAAACUGGCCGACAAUGAGUCCUCGUUGUACAACAUCAUCCUUCGUUGUCUUCCUCUAUAUGGCUUUCCAAUGGCUCCAACACCUGGACCGGCUCUUCUAGAGCCGUGGUCUUCAUCUUGAGUACAAUGUGUGAAAUCAUCUUCACAAGUAAAUGCCAAUGGUUGUCCACUUUGUUGUUGUUGUCUAACAUCCCCUUCAUCAUUUCCAAGGUCGCUACCAUCAUUGGUCCCCUCUUCUCUUGAACCAUCAUAACCGGAAGCGGAGGCGAAAGUACCAGUAGCACUAGGUCUACUACUAUGUUCAACACUCGUGGAGUCAAAAGAAGGUCGAGAAGUGACUGCCGGCUGAGAAAUUCCUUGUCAAAAUGAAUAUCUCGUGUCUUGGCUGAAACUAUCAGUAUGAACUUCUUCGGAUAACACUCAAUCAACAUCAACACCUGCUUCUCGGACAUGUGCGGCAAUUCGUGGGUCGGGAUUUCCAUCUUCAUCAUCUAAAUGAAGAGGUCUAACCCAUUGAAACAAUUGGUUAUCUUCUUCUUCACCAACCUCAGUUGCAAUGUCAAGUAAAUCGAGGUAAUCUUUCUCUGCAACUUUGUCAUGUUCUGCUUCCAUGUCACGUAUCUUUAGUUUCAUGUUAUAAUAAUAGAAAACUAAUUGUUGGAGCAUCGGGUAAGCAAGCCGAUUUCUUUGUUUUGUAUGAAUUAAGGCAAACGUGCUCCAAUUUCUCUCACAAGCUGAAGAUGAUGCAGUUUGCGAUAAAGCCUUGAUGGCCAACCUUCUUAAUGUAGGAGUGUGAUUUCCAUACAUGAACCACCAUUCAGCUACAACCAAAUAAAUGAUAUCAAUACUUAUAUUGGAAAGUUACAAUAAUAUGCUAAUGAAAUGAAUUAUUAAUUCACAAAUAAUACUCACCGGGAACCAUUUCUGACCUCGAAGCAAUCGCUGCUCGAUCACCGAAUCCUCUUUUUGCAUCUCGAAAUAGUAUAAUCUACAUAUUAAAUAAUUGAAAGUGAAAAAGUUGAGUAAAUGAAAUUCAAUUAUUUAAUUUAUAUUAUAACUCUAAUAAUUUACCUCAUUUCCAAAUUGACUAAGACCUUCUGAUGUAGGAUCUAAUUUCGCAAAGACUUCAUGAACAGCUUGAAGUAGAUCAGGAUCAGUACCAACUCCACGUUUAUAUUGAAAUCUUGGAUUAAGAAAGAAUGCUACAAUAGUAAAGUAGAAAUGUAAAAUUAGAAUGUUAUGAAAGAAACAUAUUAAAUACCUAUAAAUUUCAAAGAUGAAUAAUACUUACCUGCUGCAUGAAGAGGAUGUUUAAGAGUUCUAUCCCAACGAUCUGCAAUUAUUUCUAACACCCAUUCUUUAGCAUUAAGUCGAAUGAGGUUCUCUUUCAUAACUCGAAUCAAUUCAUACACAAAUGGCAUUGUAGGAACAACUUCUGAAUCGACAAUGCGAAGAACUGUGUAUAACGCCUCAUAUAUUGACACUCACUUUCCCACUCUUUCCCAGUACGCAUGGUCAAACAUAAGUGAUUCAACUUCUUUGCCGAUUAAUGUGCGACUUAAGUUGUGUUGUGCCCAUUCAUCACUGAUAAACACUUUCUUCAAGUUUGCUUUCUUUUUCAAAAGACUGUCGAGGGCUAUAUAAUUGGUUGCAAAUAUUGUUGCUCCAGGACGAACUAUGUCUCCACCACACACCUUCCGCAUCUGUGCAAGCAACCAACCAUGGUUAUAAAUGAAGUUGGUUAUCUUUCGAGCCUUUGUAAUCACAUCUGCAACACUCGUCCUUUUACCGAUGUCUUCGAACAUUAAGUCGAUGCAAUGUGCUGCACACGGAGUCCAAUAAAGAUUGUAUUUUUUCAUUAACAACUUCCCCGCCUUCACAAAUGCCGACCCAUUAUCUGUAACUAUUUGGACCACAUUUUGUUUGCCAACUUCCUUGAUUACAUCCUUCAACAAACCAUAUAUGUAUUUGUUGUCCUUUAUAUUAUUUGAUGCAUCAACAGAUUUGAGGAAGAUUGUGCUACCUUUUGAAUAUACCAUGAAAUUAAUUAUGCUUAAUUUCGUGGGUCCAGUCCAUCCGUCAGACAUAAUCGUGCAUCCAUAAGUCUUCCACUUUUCUCUUUGAAUAUUGACAUAAGCUUCCAUGUCUUUGUACUCCAUAUCCAAAUACUCGUGUUUGAUUUCAUAAGGAGGCGGUGGUUCUAUACCCAUACCUACCAUCCAUAUAUAAUUAAAACAUAUAAGAACAUUUGUGGCAAUCAUACUAUAUAAAUAGUAAUGAUAUUGUUAAAAUGAAUACAACUUUUAAAAUUAUAGUAAUUACCUGCUUGUUGUGCACCAAUAAUCAUGUUCUUGAAGUGGUGAGAGUCUGCUUUAUUGGGCGGAACACUCUCAUAUAUGAAGAACUUACUGAUCAAAAGUCCCAUGGUUUCCUUGAUGGCACCACAUUUGAAAAGAUUUUUCAUAGUUUUCUGUCUUGCCGCUGAAGAUUUGUACAAUGAGGGUGCAUCAGGCAGUGAUGGAUCUGAAUAUCGAACACUUUGCGAUUUUCGCAUUUGCCUUGUUGUUGGAUUGGUUGGAUGUGAAGACUCGCCUAUUAUAAUUAUUAAAAUUAAACAUAUAUGCUAAUUUAAUAUUAUUGAUAAAGUUGAUAAGAAAUAGUAAUAAUUCAAAUUAAUAUUAUACUUGUUUUUCUUUUGCUUUUUAUAAAAUGUUCUUCUUGUUGUCGAUUCCAUUCAGCAGCUUUUGAUGCUUGAACCGCCUCUCUAUAAGCAUGUCGCUCAUCAGGGUGCAUGUCAGCCGGAUACAUAUACACAUCAUCAUCUCCAUCAUCAUCAUCACCACCAAGGUUCUCCUCAUCGUCCUCAUCAAUUACAUGUCUAUGUCUUCUUCCCAUUGUGUCUCGCAGUUCUGAUCGAAUCUCUUCUAUAUCUGCAGCUUUCUUCGCUUUUGCCUUAUUUUUUUGCUCUAGAAGUCGUCUUAUUUCUUGUUUCACUUCUGGAGGCACGUUAAGACACUUUUUUGUAUUUGAAUUAGGGUCUGUAUGUGAUAGGUGAAAUUUAAAACAAGUAAUCCCACCACUCUUUAUUGCCAACCCACAGUAAUUGCAUAUUGUUCCAUUUUUGUUCCCUUCCAUAGGUGUACAAUAUUUCCAACAAGGAUCUCGACCCAUGAUACCACUUUCACUAGCCAUUUUCUAAAAUUGAAUUAUGAAACUAAUAUCAAAUUUAAAAUUAUUAAAGAUAAAACAUGUAUGAAAUUUAAUAUUCAUGAAAUUGAUAAGAACUAAUAAAAAUUGAAAUUAAAAUUGAAUUAUGCACAUAUGAAAUAGAUAAACAUUACAAUAAAAUUUCAAUAUGAAUUAAAUUUAAAUUAAAUUAAAUUUGCAUAUUCAUGAAAUUGAUAAGAAUCAUUACUAAUAAAAAUUAAAAUUAAAAUUGAAUUAUGCAUAUAUGAAAUAGAUAAACAUUACAAUAAAAUUUUGAUAAGAAUUAAAUUAAAUUAAAUUAAAUUAAAUUUGCAUAUUCAUGAAAUUGAUAAGAAUCAUUACUAAUAAAAAUUAAAAUUGAAUUAUGCAUAUAUGAAAUAGAUAAACAUUACAAUUACAUUUCCAUAUGAAUUAGAUAAUAUCAAUUAAACUAUAUAUAACAAAUAAAAUUGAAUUAUACAUAAUAAAAUAAAUUUUAUGGAAGGUAAGACAUACCUUAAUUAGCCUUGACUUGGAGUUAAUCCCCUUCACCACCAAAUUUUCAAAAUAAAAAAAUUUUGCUAGAUCAUAUAAGAAUUUUGAUGUAUGAAAUGGAAUGGAAUGUGGGUAUUUAUAGGAAUUUUUUGGUCAAACUAGCCAUUGGAUGGUCAAAUAGUCGUUAUAAAUUAAUUUUAACCGUUGGAUCAAAAUUUGGUUCAAAUUUCACCAUUAGAUUUUCAUAUAACCGUUGGAAACACUCCAUAGCCCUUGGAUAAAGUGAAGAUUGAUUUUCCACCAUUGGAUCACAAAUCUGACCGUUGGAGGCCUUUACAAAUACACGGGUGAAAUCUGGGCCAUCAGAUCCUCAAAAAUUCAAAAUUGGCCAUCAGAUCAAAAUCAUUGGAGCUGGGAAAAAUCGGCGAUUUUCUCGGUAAAAAAUCGGCGAUAUAUCGGUAAAAUCGUCGAUUAAUCGCUGAUUUUUUCAACUCCUCUGGCAGCUUCUCCGCGCGUGCCUCCACUCUUCGAUUUUUUGCCGAUUUAUCGGUGCUUCACCGAUAUUUCGCCAAUAUAUCGGCGAUUUUGCCAAUUUUUGGCCGAUUUUUCCAUCGAUCGAUAAUCGGUGACGAUUAUUGUUUCAGUGCCGCCCGAUAUCCGAUAUUUAUUCGAAAUAUCAACGAUAUAUCCCGAUUUUUCAAUCCCUGGGUGUAUCAACAAGUUGACAUCCCGACAUUCCAGUCUCCUAUAAAAGAUUUAAGGCAUACUUUCUUUGAGACAGAAAAAUUCAUUCACUUGAUUGAGAAACUUCAAUCCCAAGAAAGUAUUUCGGAGGACCUAGAUCUUUCAUUUCGAAUUCUCUAGAUAGAUAAUUCUGUAGAGCUUUUCUUUCUUCAGGAUCAUUUCCUGUAACUACCAUGUCAUCCACAUAUACGAUGAGUGUCGUAAUCUUACCAUGUUGCUUUUUCAGGAACAAAGUGUGAUUUGAAUUACUUUGAUGAUAGCUAAAAGCUCUCAUUGACUUUGUGAACCUUCCAAACCAUGCUCUCGGGGAUUGCUUCAACCCAUACAAUGAUUUCUUCAAUUUGCACACCUUCUGACAUUGCUUUUCUGACCCCAUGCAUCCUGAUGGAAGAUCCAUAUAUACUUCUUCAGAUAACUCGCCAUGUAGAAAGACAUUUUUUACAUCGAAUUGUUGUAAUGGUCAAUCCAGGUUUGCAGCUAAAAACAGUAAUACUCGAACUGUAUUGAUCUUAGCUACAGGUGCAAAUGUCUCUGUAUAGUCAAUUCCAUAAGUUUGAGUGUACCCUUUUGCUACCAAUCUUGCUUUAAAACGUUCAAUACUACCAUCUGCCUUGUACUUCACAGUAUAGAUCCAACAACACCCAACUGGCUUCUUUCCUGGUGGACAUUCUACGAGUUCCCAUGUUUCAUUCUUCUAUAAUGAUUUCAUAUCUUCAUUCAUGACUGCUUUCCACCUUGGAUUAGCUAAGGCUUCCUGCACACUGUUAGGAAUAGUUACAAUAGAUAAUUGAUUUACAAAUGACUUAUUUGAUUCAGACAAACAAUGGUUAGAUACAUAGUUGCUCAUGGGAUAUUUGACAUUGGUAGACAAUUUAGGUUCAUAUGUGGGUUUAGGAAUAUCUCUAUUAUGACGGUGUGGAAACCGUUUUGUGAAUGGAUUAGGUUCCAAAUUAAGAACACCCUCAACAGACGACGAUUGGUUUGGUAUUUCAGUGAAGGCAUCUUUAGACCCAAAUUGCUCGGAUGGUUCAAUUGUACUGUCUCUCCCCUCUUUUAUCACUUCUUCAGCUUCUGGGUGGUCAUUACUACCUGGUUCACCCGCUUCUUUAUUCACUAGUUUAGAUUGUCCAUAUUCAUCCUCCUUAGAGAUAUCAUAAUCGAGAGUCUGAAUUUCCUUAUAGUACUCCCCUUGAAGUUCAGACUCAAAUGAAAAAUACAUUGAAUCUUCAUGAAACACCACAUCCAUUGUAAUAAACAUUCGUCGAGUUGGAGGAUGAUAACAUCGAUAUCCCUUUUUGUGCAAUGCAUAUCCAACAAACACAUAUUGCAAUGCACGGGAAGUUAACUUGGUGCGUUGGUGUUUGUGUAGAUGCACAAAUGCCAUGCAACCAAAAACACGAGGAGGUAGAUUUGGGAUGGUUGGGGCAACUACAACAUUAGUAAGAGCUUGGAGAGGUGUUUGGAAGUCAAUUGAACUGGAAGGUACCCGAUUGAUCAAGUAUGUAGCAGAUAUGAUUGCUUCUCCCCAAUAAGAUAUCGACAUUUUUGCUGCUAUCAAGGAAGCAUGAACAACCUCUAACAAGUGCCGAUUUUUUCGUUCAACGACUCCAUUUUUCUGGGGUGUAUUGGAACAAGUAGUCUGAUGAAUGAUGUCAUGUCCUUCCAAAUACUUUUGAAGAUCAGAAUUAUGAUAUUCUCCACCAUAUCGCUACGCAGAACCCGAACCUUUGCAUUGUAUUGAGUUUCAAUCAUUUUAUGAAAAUUUUGAAACAACAAGUUCACUUCAUCUUUGGUCUUCAUCAAGCAUAACCAGGUCAUUCUGGUACAAUCAUCAAUAAAAGUAACAAACCAACGCGAGCCUCUCAAAGUUGGGACUUUGGAUGGGCCCCAAACAUCAUAAUGUAUAACCAUAAAAGGAAGCGGACUUUUAUUCAAAAUUAACGGAAACGAAGUACGAUGACUUUUAGCCAAUUCAAAAAUAUCUCAACGAAAACCAGAAAUAUCACUCAUUGCAAACAAAUUAGGAAACAAUUUUUUAAAAUAGCCAAAGGAAGCAUGUCCCAAGCGUCGAUGGCACAACCAAAUUUCAGACUUUUUCUCCUCCCCCUCAAAUCCAUCUAUCAUCAAGGCUUGUCGUAAUUUAUUGGAAUCCUUUGACUGCAAGUCCAAGUAAUAGAGUUUUUCCACUUAAUACCACAACCAAUCGUCUGUCUUGUUUGGAUGUCCUUAAAAACACAAAAUUCAGGCCAAAAAAUGACAAUACAAGAUAAUGCUGCAGUGAUUUGAGAAAUUGACAAAAAAUUGUAAUCUAAAGAUGGAACAACUAAAAUAGAAUCCAAAUUCAAAGUAUCAGUAAGAGUUAAGGAUCCUUCCCCAAUGACUGGGGUUGUGUUACCAUUGGCUGUGGAAAUAAUUUUUUGUGAGGAAGGUAUAAGGGGUGAGACCUGUCUAGAAUCAAAAGUCAUAUGAUCUGUAGCACCAGAAUUAAUUAUCCAUGCACUAUUAAUAACAGGUGUAGAAGUAUUCAAAAACUUACCAUCAUAAUCUAUAUUGGCUACCAAUGCAGAGACAUUCUCAGUAACAUUAGCCUCUGUUUUUAUUUCGGCAAUAGCUGCAGUCGAGGUUUUCUUGGAAUUCUUCUUCCGUUGAUCACGAUUAUGAUCCCACCAGUCUGGAUAUCCCACAAUUUCAAAGCAACAACUCUUGGUAUGACCAGUCUUAUUGCAGUGAGUGCAUUUGAAGGUUGACUUAUCAAUAUUAGGGCCCGUCUUAGGAUGGUUGGUCUUGGAUUGGUCCUGCCAAUUCUGGGUUGAUCGCUGUCGGACUACCAUAGAUGAGGUGUCAGGAUUGUCAUAUUAUGUUUUCAUACUAGCAUGACGCACUGCCUCUCGUCGAAUCAGUGCAUAGCAUUCUUCCAAAUUGGGAAGAAGAUCUUUGCGUAGAAUCUCUCCUCGAACUUGCUCAAAGUCACCAUCCAAUCCAGCAAGAAAGAUGUGCACCCAUUGUUGUUCAAUGGAUUUCCGAUAUGUUGUAAUGUCAUCAGGGUCUUUCAUGACCACCUUAUCCCGAUGAUCCAAUUCGCAAAAAAUCUCAGUUAACUCUCCGUAAUAUUCAGAAAGAGACCUGCCGCUUUGUUUGGAAGUGAAUACUUUUUUUAUUCAAAGUGAAAACUUGUAAUUCAUCGCUUCCAUCAUAGAAGACAUUUGAUAAUGCACUCCAAAUUUCUUGAGCGGUGGGUAAGCGUAAGUAACACUUCAUAAUUUCUUGACUCAUGGACAUUAACAACCAUUUCUUCACCUUUUGAUUCUCAGCAUACCAUUUUUCAUAUCUAUCUUCUGACUCUUUUGGUGGAUUUGUUUUACCUCGAAUGUAGGAAAGUUUUUCCCGUUCAACAAUAUGCAUCUUCAUAAGUUGUGACCAAACGUCAUAGUUUGAUUCAAUCAAAAUAAUUCCUAGAUUAAAAGUACCUUCAGAUUGAAAAAUAAUAGUAUUUUUUUCACUUUUUUUUUUUUUUUGAUGAUUAAAUAUAAUAUAUAUUCAACUGGUGAUGUAGGAAGAAAGUGACAAAAAAUAGGGGACCCUAAAUAGAAAGAAAGAUUUUUCAAGAAAAUCAAAUAAUAGAGAAAAAAAUAGUAGAAGACACUGAAAGUACAAAUAAGCAUGCCAGGUUGUAGGACAAUGUCAGUUUUCCGGCAACUGUCCAAGAUUUCAGUUCCAUGGCUUUGAUACCAUCUUCAAAUUAAUGAAUGAGGUUUUUUUUUUUCUCAUUCAUAUUUUUAUUCAUUCAUGUACAGAGUAUAUAUAAAGGGUAAUCAUCAUUCUAAGAAUGGGAAAAAAUGAUACAAGGAAUGAAUGAUAUAAGGAAACAAUGAUACAAGGAAAGGAAUGACAUAAGGAAAGAAUGAUACAAGGAAAGUAUUCCUAAUAUCUCAACAACUGGUAUAUCACUUUUGACGAUAAAAGGAAUUUUAGUUAAAAGUGAGGUUAAUUGCUCUAUUGUAAUGAUAUGAUAUAAAAUGUCUCUUUGAUGGAAAAAAUUGAAAAUUGAGUUCAUAGAAUUUAGUCUGAAAAUUAUUGAAAAAUGUCUCAAAUUCUUAAUUAAUAAAAAUUUAUUUUUACACAGAAUAUUAUAUAAAAUAUUUUCUAAAUUAAUACAUCAUUGUAAUAUUAUAUUAUUUUAUAGAAUAAACAAAGUUAUUAGAAAUAUCUUAAUAAAUAUUUUAGGUUAAGAAAAGAAAAAGUUAAUAAGAUAAAUAUGAGCUUUUAGAGACUACACAUUGUUUUAUCUUAGUAUCGGAAGGCCAGGUUGCGGAGAAGUUGAACAUGGAUAAAGCAUAUGGGCUGGCCUUACAAUGAGCCGCCCCACUAAUGGUGCACCCACAGCCGAGGCUGUCACCCCAAGGUUUCGGGAAGUAAAUGAGGUUGUUUUCCCAUGAUUAAAACAGAAAACUUGAUGAUGGAUUUGGCUGAAUAAUUAUGACGUUGGAGAGCGAUGGAGUGUAGUAGUUUCGUGAUGGGUUUUCCCUCAGCCACGUGGACGUUAAUAUUGUAAACGUUGACUCUGAAGGAGCUAUCUAAUAAUGCAAUAUGUCGGAUUAAAAAUUAAAUUAUUUACCCCACAAUAUGAAUGUCGAGCGUAGGAGAAGAAAGUCAUAUGAUGAAUAUGAAGGCAUCACAAUCUAAAGAGUCGUGCAAUGCGGCGAGUGAAUAUGACCAAUAAAAGCACGAAAACUGAACGGGAGUCGCUUCAUCUGUCCUGCAUUCAUUUACAUUCUUUGCCCCAUUGGUUAAGAAUCCGUCCUGUUCUAGGAAAAUUUUUCCCAUCAUUUCGAAUGUCUUCCCAUUUAAAUAUGAAAUUUUGAAUGGUCGUGUAUGAUUUUUUUCUUACUAGCCAUUAUUUUGAGAAUAAUACAAGUUUGACCAACACAACUAUGUCUUUUUUCCUCAUAAUAAAUUUCCAAUCUUGAUUCAUUAUAAUUUUUUAAUGAAAUAAUUCAAAAAAACUACAUACAAGUUGUUAUACAUCUUGCUCAUGUGUGUAAAAGGAAAGAGAUACAUCCUUGUUUUUCAACUAUUAAAAUGAUAUCCUUGGGCCAAUUCUUUCAUUACGUCUGAAUAUUUUGGGAGAAUUGUGGAACCAUUUUGAGACAGUGAAUUUAAAUAGCAUUUUUAAUAUUUUAAAAAAUUAUUAUUAAAAACGUUUUUUAAUAUCCAUUUUUUCAACAUCAGGACCAAGAACGCAAAAUAAAAUAUAAUUUUCCCUACUUGCUACCAAAGAUUUUGGUUGAUUAUUUUUCUGAUAAUAAAUAAUAUUUUAUUUUGCGUUCUUGGUCAAAAAAUGGAUAUUAAAAUAUAUAUAAUUUUUCAGCUACAACAGCGCGCACGGAGCACGCUCUUAGUUAGAACACACUUGUACCCGUCAUCUUUGAUUUAGCUAACCCCGAAUCUCCCUUUAUAUUCCUCUCUGGAUUCAGGAGCCGAGACUCAGAGAUAAGCCAAGAAGCCAUGAAUCCCCUGGCGCUGAUUUUCUGCACGGCUCUCUUCUGCAUUCUCCUCUACCACUUCCUCACGCGCCGCUCUGUCCGCCUCCCUCCGGGGCCCAAGCCAUGGCCGAUUGUGGGGAACCUCCCUCACCUGGGCCCCGUCCCUCACCACUCCAUUGCUGCGCUCGCUAAAACCUACGGCCCUCUCAUGCAUCUCCGUAUGGGCUUCGUCGACGUCGUGGUGGCCGCCUCCGCCUCCGUUGCCGCUCAGUUCUUGAAAACUCAUGAUGCUAAUUUCUCCAACAGGCCUCCUAAUUCAGGUGCCAAGCAUAUCGCCUACAACUAUCAGGAUCUGGUGUUCGCUCCCUACGGCCCCCGGUGGCGCAUGCUCCGCAAGAUUUGCUCCGUCCACCUCUUCUCUGGCCAAGCCUUGGAUGAUUUUCGCCAUAUCCGACAGGUACCUAGCUUAAUCUCUCUCAGAAAUGAAUCCUUUCUCAAUUUUAAUCCAUUUUUCGUUUUUUCUUCCUGAUCGCUUCUAUUAUUUCAUCGCAAAUUAAGAUCUGGUUACACAGAUUUCAUUUUUCCAUAAAAACAUGUAAGAAAAUAAUAGCAUGUGUUCACCAUCAUUGUCUAGUCCUGUCAGAGUAUUUGCAGUCUCCACUCUCUCUGUAUACACUACACAUCUUUUUGAAGAAGGCCCGGCUCCACAAGUUUAUUAUUACUAUUUUUUUAAUGAUUUUUUUUAGUAAGGUUGUUUUCCUCCGGCAGUGGAAGUCCGUGCAUUCACGCGAGACUUUACCAUUUAAUAUUUAAAAUUAUAUUUUUUUAAUGUUUGUUUUAUAAAAAUACUGAACUGACAAAUGAGUUGCCGCUGAGUUUUAUCCAAUUUUGAUGAUUAGAAAAAUAAUCAGUAGAUGAAAAUUUAUGUGACGUACAGGAGGAGGUUUUGGCGCUAAUGCGCGCACUUGCGAGGGCGGGUCAAACGCCGGUGAAGUUGGGGCAGCUGCUGAACGUGUGCACUACCAACGCCCUAGGGCGGGUGAUGUUAGGCAGGAGAGUGUUCGGCGACGGCAGCGGAGGCGAAGAUCCGAAGGCCGACGAGUUCAAAGAGAUGGUGGUGGAGCUGAUGGUCCUGGCCGGAGUUUUCAACAUCGGCGACUUUGUGCCGGCGCUGGAAUGGCUGGACCUGCAGGGCGUAGCUUCCAAGAUGAAGAAGCUCCAUGCUCGGUUUGACGCUUUCCUGGGCGCCAUCGUGGAGGAGCACAAGAUCAGCGGCUCUGCUGGUUCCGAGCGUCACGUGGACUUACUCAGCACGUUGAUCUCGCUGAAGGAUAAUGCCGACGGUGAGGGAGGCAAGCUCACCGACGUUGAGAUCAAAGCCUUGCUCUUGGUAUCUCUCAUUAUCCAUUUUCUGUCACUGUUUCGUCUACUUCUUGUGGUAAUUUGGCACCUGAAAUUGAUGAAAACCGUCUGUUGACAUGGCAGAACUUGUUCACAGCUGGAACUGACACCUCAUCCAGCACAGUGGAGUGGGCCAUUGCAGAGCUCAUUCGCCACCCUGAAAUGAUGGCCCAAGCCCAACAAGAGCUGGACGCAGUGGUGGGCCGAGGCAGGCUUGUAACUGAUUUGGACCUGCCCAAACUUACCUAUCUCCAAGCCAUAGUCAAGGAAACCUUCCGCCUGCACCCAUCCACGCCCCUCUCCCUCCCUCGGAUGGCGGCGGAGAGCUGUGAGAUCAACGGCUACCACAUCCCCAAAAACGCCACUCUUCUAGUGAACGUGUGGGCCAUAGCGCGGGACCCAGAGGUGUGGGAGGAGCCACUAGAAUUCAGGCCCAACAGGUUCCUCCCAGGAGGGGAAAGAC